CAGCCGCCACGGGAAUACGGAGGGUGCAAGCGUUAAUCGGAAUUACUGGGCGUAAAGCGCACGCAGGCGGUCUGACAAGUCAGAUGUGAAAUCCCCGGGCUUAACCUGGGAACUGCAUUUGAAACUGUCAGGCUGGAGUCUUGUAGAGGGGGGUAGAAUUCCAGGUGUAGCGGUGAAAUGCGUAGAGAUCUGGAGGAAUACCGGUGGCGAAGGCGGCCCCCUGGACAAAGACUGACGCUCAGGUGCGAAAGCGUGGGGAGCAAACAGGAUUAGAUACCCCUGUAGUCCCUGUCUCUUAUAC
Molecule: ribosomal RNA, 301 nt
Filed under: uncultured bacterium
Lineage: Bacteria
Description: partial 16S ribosomal RNA
Rfam family: Bacterial small subunit ribosomal RNA
Source: RNAcentral